Molecule: non-coding RNA, 85 nt
Filed under: unclassified sequences
Description: L4-Archaeoglobi ribosomal protein leader
Rfam family: L4-Archaeoglobi ribosomal protein leades
Source: RNAcentral
CUGACAGGUACGCAUGGGUCGACGUUCGUGCAACGAGCCCGUUCCCGCUGCUUCAAUAAUGGGCAGAAGGAUGCGUUAUUGUCAG